UGGAGGUUGAAUCUCAAAUUCCUGCUCAUCAUCAUCCUCAUCUAAAUUUAUCAUAUCUCCAAGAUAAAAUUUCAUUCUUGCAGGAAUUUGUUUAAUAAUUGAAGGCAUAAUAGUCAUUUGAUUAUAAAUUUCUCUUUUAUGCUCCUUAUGACUAUCUCGUGCUUCCUCUUCUUCUUCUCCUCCACUGCUGCUGCUACUCUCAAUGGCUUCACCUUCCUCCUUUUGAUCACUUCUUCCAAUCUCUACAACUUCCCUGUCAGCUCUUUCUCCAUCACUUGUCA
RNAcentral lists this long non-coding RNA (281 nucleotides) under Vigna radiata. Its description in RNAcentral is "long non-coding RNA (VRAD_LNC013729)". The record is from RNAcentral. Lineage: Eukaryota; Viridiplantae; Streptophyta; Magnoliopsida; Fabales; Fabaceae.